RNAcentral lists this ribosomal RNA (872 nucleotides) under Protoceratium reticulatum. Its description in RNAcentral is "partial large subunit ribosomal RNA". It matches the Rfam family "Eukaryotic large subunit ribosomal RNA", at positions 47 to 857 of the family's 3401-position model. The record is from RNAcentral. Lineage: Eukaryota; Dinophyceae; Gonyaulacales; Protoceratiaceae.
UGAGUGGAGGAUGAGAAACUAAACAGGAUUCCUUUAGUAAUGGCGAAUGAAGAAGGAGUAGCUCAACAUGAAAAUCUGGGCAUCUGGCCUUGAAUUGUAGUUUGAAGAUGCAUUUGCCAAUGGACAUGAUAAUGAAAGCCUUUUGGGAAAAAGCAUCAACGAGGGUGAGAAUCCUUCUUGACAUUUCAAUUGUCCAUGUACGGUGUGCAUUGAAGAUUCACGUUCCUUGGGAUUUGAACGCAAACUUGUUGGUAAAUUUCAUUUAAAGCUAAAUAUUGGUUUGAGACCGAUAGAAAACAAGUACCAUGAGGGAAAAGUGAAAAGGACUUUGAAAAGAAAGUUAAAAGUGCUUGAAAUUGCUGAAGAGGAAGCGGGUGUAUUUCGCACGCAAUUCUCAAGAUUGUUGCGCAUAUCUCUGAUACCUUGUUGUCUUGAUUUAAUUGCAGCAAUAAGUUAUAUUUGUGAAUGCGCAAUGUUGCUUGUGUUUUGUGCCUUCAUCGAUUCACAGCCAUAGAAACAAUCUAAACAUGAAUCUUUGCUCUUGUGCAAAAGAACAUUUAGGUUCAGAUUUAGCUUGUGGAUCGCUCUUAAUAUUGUUGAUUGCUUAAUCGUCCUUGCGCCUUGCGUGCGGGAUGAUUUCACGACAUGAAAAUGAUGGCCAAAGAAAUACAUUCGACCCGUCUUGAAACACGGACCAAGGAGUUUAACACAUGUGCAAGUUUGGGGUGUGAUGCUUCUUUGCGUAAUGAAAAUGAUAUUUGGUAUAUUCUUGCACCAAUAACCAACCGCUCAAUUGUGAGAGGUUUGAGUACGAGCAUAUUUGUUAAGACCCGAAAGAUGGUGAACUAUGCCUGGGAAGGGUAAAUUCAGGG